CGGGUGAGUAACACGUGGGUGAUCUGCCCUGCACUUUGGGAUAAGCCUGGGAAACUGGGUCUAAUACCGAAUAGGACUACGGGCUGCAUGGUCUGUGGUGGAAAGCUUUUGCGGUGUGGGAUGGGCCCGCGGCCUAUCAGCUUGUUGGUGGGGUGAUGGCCUACCAAGGCGACGACGGGUAGCCGGCCUGAGAGGGUGUCCGGCCACACUGGGACUGAGAUACGGCCCAG
Molecule: ribosomal RNA, 230 nt
Filed under: uncultured bacterium
Lineage: Bacteria
Description: partial 16S ribosomal RNA
Rfam family: Bacterial small subunit ribosomal RNA
Source: RNAcentral